This 451-nucleotide ribosomal RNA is filed under the name uncultured bacterium. RNAcentral describes it as "partial 16S ribosomal RNA". It matches the Rfam family "Bacterial small subunit ribosomal RNA", at positions 29 to 523 of the family's 1533-position model. The record is from RNAcentral.
AGCGAACGCUGGCGGCAGGCUUAACACAUGCAAGUCGAGCGGGCAUAGCAAUAUGUCAGCGGCAGACGGGUGAGUAACGCGUGGGAACGUACCUUUUGGUUCGGGACAACUGAGGGAAACUUCAGCUAAUACCGGAUAAGCCCUUACGGGGAAAGAUUUAUCGCCGAAAGAUCGGCCCGCGUCUGAUUAGCUAGUUGGUGAGGUAAUGGCUCACCAAGGCGACGAUCAGUAGCUGGUCUGAGAGGAUGAUCAGCCACAUUGGGACUGAGACACGGCCCAAACUCCUACGGGAGGCAGCAGUGGGGAAUAUUGGACAAUGGGCGCAAGCCUGAUCCAGCCAUGCCGCGUGAGUGAUGAAGGCCCUAGGGUUGUAAAGCUCUUUUGUGCGGGAAGAUAAUGACGGUACCGCAAGAAUAAGCCCCGGCUAACUUCGUGCCAGCCGCCGCAGUAA